GGUUAAGCGACUAAGCGUACACGGUGGAUGCCCUGGCAGUCAGAGGCGAUGAAGGACGUGCUAAUCUGCGAAAAGCGUCGGUAAGGUGAUAUGAACCGUUAUAACCGGCGAUGUCCGAAUGGGGAAACCCAGUGCAAUUCGUUGCACUAUCGUUAACUGAAUACAUAGGUUAACGAGGCGAACCGGGGGAACUGAAACAUCUAAGUACCCCGAGGAAAAGAAAUCAACCGAGAUUCCCCCAGUAGCGGCGAGCGAACGGGGAGCAGCCCAGAGUCUGAAUCAGCUUGUGUGUUAGUGGAACGGUCUGGAAAGUCCGACGGUACAGGGUGAUAGUCCCGUACACCAAAAUGCACAGGUUGUGAACUCGAAGAGUAGGGCGGGACACGUGGUAUCCUGUCUGAAUAUGGGGGGACCAUCCUCCAAGGCUAAAUACUCCUGACUGACCGAUAGUGAACCAGUACCGUGAGGGAAAGGCGAAAAGAACCCCGGCGAGGGGAGUGAAAAAGAACCUGAAACCGUGUACGUACAAGCAGUGGGAGCACCUUCGGGUGUGACUGCGUACCUUUUGUAUAAUGGGUCAGCGACUUAUAUUCUGUAGCAAGGUUAACCGUAUAGGGGAGCCGCAGGGAAACCGAGUCUUAACUGGGCGUUAAGUUGCAGGGUAUAGACCCGAAACCCGGUGAUCUAGCCAUGGGCAGGUUGAAGGUUGGGUAACACUAACUGGAGGACCGAACCGACUAAUGUUGAAAAAUUAGCGGAUGACUUGUGGCUGGGGGUGAAAGGCCAAUCAAACCGGGAGAUAGCUGGUUCUCCCCGAAAGCUAUUUAGGUAGCGCCUCGUGAACUCAUCUUCGGGGGUAGAGCACUGUUUCGGCUAGGGGGUCAUCCCGACUUACCAACCCGAUGCAAACUACGAAUACCGAAGAAUGUUAUCACGGGAGACACACGGCGGGUGCUAACGUCCGUCGUGAAGAGGGAAACAACCCAGACCGCCAGCUAAGGUCCCAAAGUCAUGGUUAAGUGGGAAACGAUGUGGGAAGGCACAGACAGCCAGGAUGUUGGCUUAGAAGCAGCCAUCAUUUAAAGAAAGCGUAAUAGCUCACUGGUCGAGUCGGCCUGCGCGGAAGAUGUAACGGGGCUAAACCAUGCACCGAAGCUGCGGCAGCGACACUAUGUGUUGUUGGGUAGGGGAGCGUUCUGUAAGCCUGCGAAGGUGUGCUGUGAGGCAUGCUGGAGGUAUCAGAAGUGCGAAUGCUGACAUAAGUAACGAUAAAGCGGGUGAAAAGCCCGCUCGCCGGAAGACCAAGGGUUCCUGUCCAACGUUAAUCGGGGCAGGGUGAGUCGACCCCUAAGGCGAGGCCGAAAGGCGUAGUCGAUGGGAAACAGGUUAAUAUUCCUGUACUUGGUGUUACUGCGAAGGGGGGACGGAGAAGGCUAUGUUAGCCGGGCGACGGUUGUCCCGGUUUAAGCAUGUAGGCUGGUUGUCCAGGCAAAUCCGGAUAAUCAAGGCUGAGGUGUGAUGACGAGGCACUACGGUGCUGAAGUAACAAAUGCCCUGCUUCCAGGAAAAGCCUCUAAGCAUCAGGUAACAUCAAAUCGUACCCCAAACCGACACAGGUGGUCAGGUAGAGAAUACCAAGGCGCUUGAGAGAACUCGGGUGAAGGAACUAGGCAAAAUGGUGCCGUAACUUCGGGAGAAGGCACGCUGGUGUGUAGGUGAAGUCCCUGCGGAUGGAGCUGAGACCAGUCGAAGAUACCAGCUGGCUGCAACUGUUUAUUAAAAACACAGCACUGUGCAAACACGAAAGUGGACGUAUACGGUGUGACGCCUGCCCGGUGCCGGAAGGUUAAUUGAUGGGGUUAUCCGUAAGGAGAAGCUCUUGAUCGAAGCCCCGGUAAACGGCGGCCGUAACUAUAACGGUCCUAAGGUAGCGAAAUUCCUUGUCGGGUAAGUUCCGACCUGCACGAAUGGCGUAAUGAUGGCCAGGCUGUCUCCACCCGAGACUCAGUGAAAUUGAACUCGCUGUGAAGAUGCAGUGUACCCGCGGCAAGACGGAAAGACCCCGUGAACCUUUACUAUAGCUUGACACUGAACAUUGAGCCUUGAUGUGUAGGAUAGGUGGGAGGCUUUGAAGCGUGGACGCCAGUCUGCGUGGAGCCAACCUUGAAAUACCACCCUUUAAUGUUUGAUGUUCUAACGUUGGCCCCUGACCGGGGUUGCGGACAGUGUCUGGUGGGUAGUUUGACUGGGGCGGUCUCCUCCCAAAGCGUAACGGAGGAGCACGAAGGUUAGCUAAUCCUGGUCGGACAUCAGGAGGUUAGUGCAAUGGCAUAAGCUAGCUUGACUGCGAGCGUGACGGCGCGAGCAGGUGCGAAAGCAGGUCAUAGUGAUCCGGUGGUUCUGAAUGGAAGGGCCAUCGCUCAACGGAUAAAAGGUACUCCGGGGAUAACAGGCUGAUACCGCCCAAGAGUUCAUAUCGACGGCGGUGUUUGGCACCUCGAUGUCGGCUCAUCACAUCCUGGGGCUGAAGUAGGUCCCAAGGGUAUGGCUGUUCGCCAUUUAAAGUGGUACGCGAGCUGGGUUUAGAACGUCGUGAGACAGUUCGGUCCCUAUCUGCCGUGGGCGCUGGAGAAUUGAGGGGGGCUGCUCCUAGUACGAGAGGACCGGAGUGGACGCAUCACUGGUGUUCGGGUUGUCAUGCCAAUGGCACUGCCCGGUAGCUAAAUGCGGAAGAGAUAAGUGCUGAAAGCAUCUAAGCACGAAACUUGCCCCGAGAUGAGUUCUCCCUGAGACUUUAAGUCUCCUGAAGGAACGUUGAAGACGACGACGUUGAUAGGCCGGGUGUGUAAGCGCAGCGAUGCGUUGAGCUAACCGGUACUAAUGAACCGUGAGGCUUAACCUUACAACGCCGAAGAUGUUUUG
This 2922-nucleotide ribosomal RNA is filed under the name Klebsiella pneumoniae subsp. pneumoniae 1158. RNAcentral describes it as "bacterial LSU rRNA". It matches the Rfam family "Bacterial large subunit ribosomal RNA". Lineage: Bacteria; Pseudomonadati; Pseudomonadota; Gammaproteobacteria; Enterobacterales; Enterobacteriaceae. The record is from RNAcentral.